GACGUGGUGGCCUAAUGGUUAGCGCAUUGGACUCCAGAUCAAAUGGUCCGGGUUCGAGUCCUUGCCGGGUUCA
This is a non-coding RNA of Desmophyllum pertusum, 73 nucleotides long. NCBI's taxonomy places the organism in Eukaryota, Metazoa, Cnidaria, Anthozoa, Scleractinia, Caryophylliidae. The record is from the annotation of a GenBank genome assembly.